GAAACACGGACCAAGGAGUCUAGCAUGUGCGCGAGUCAUUGGGACUCUGAUAAACCUAAAGGCGCAAUGAAAGUAAAGGUCCGCCUCGCGCGGACCGAGGGAGGAUGGGCCCGUCCGCGGACGGGCCCCGCACUCCCGGGGCGUCUCGUUCUCAUCGCGAGAAGAGGCGCACCCAGAGCGUACACGCUGGGACCCGAAAGAUGGUGAACUAUGCCUGGUCAGGACGAAGUCAGGGGAAACCCUGAUGGAGGUCCGUAGCGAUUCUGACGUGCAAAUCGAUCGUCGGAACUGGGUAUAGGGGCGAAAGACUAAUCNAACCUUCUAGUAGCUGG
RNAcentral lists this ribosomal RNA (332 nucleotides) under Xinidium dewitzi. RNAcentral describes it as "eukaryotic LSU rRNA". It matches the Rfam family "Eukaryotic large subunit ribosomal RNA", at positions 656 to 954 of the family's 3401-position model. Lineage: Eukaryota; Metazoa; Arthropoda; Insecta; Coleoptera; Scarabaeidae. The record is from RNAcentral.